CCCUAGCCCCGAUAGUAGUGGAAAUCCUUUUGUGCCGGGGUUCGGCACAAAAGAUUGGAACGGAUAGCGGGAACUAGC
This 78-nucleotide small RNA is filed under the name Flavobacterium saccharophilum. RNAcentral describes it as "Flavo-1 RNA". It matches the Rfam family "Flavo-1 RNA". Lineage: Bacteria; Pseudomonadati; Bacteroidota; Flavobacteriia; Flavobacteriales; Flavobacteriaceae. The record is from RNAcentral.